Molecule: long non-coding RNA, 5458 nt
Organism: Gasterosteus aculeatus aculeatus (three-spined stickleback)
Lineage: Eukaryota; Metazoa; Chordata; Actinopteri; Perciformes; Gasterosteidae
Source: Ensembl
GGGCUGCGGUUUUAAACUCAGACUCACAAAGGGGACCCGGAGGUGAGGAGGGGCCAUUUCUCACCCAGAUUUAUGGGCUCCGCAAUCAGGCGGUCGACCACUCGGGCCAUUAAAAGAUUAUCUGGAUCUUUCACAGGCACGCUGGGAUAAAUUGGGAGCAAAGUCAUUAUAUUCAUGCCAAAUAAAUCCACAGGUUGGAGGGUGACACGCUGUCUAUGUGUGUCACAGGUACACACACGUGUGCAUGCGUGUGUAUGUUAAAGCACAGCUGCGGCACAUCUGUGGUCAUUUUACAUUCCCCCUUAAGGCAAAUAAAAUCUCCAGUGUUUAGCGACAUUCUCAGCUUUGAAGGACACGUUUGAGUCAGAUACCAAACUGCUGUCAUUAUGCAUUGUGCAUCAUCUCUUAUCGAGGAUGUUAAGUGGUAUAACCACGAGGUUUGGGGUGUUUAGGUGCGGCUUUUUAUUUGGGUGAUCUUCAAACUUUGUCAGCCCCGUCACACUCCAUAACCUGAGAGUCAUCACUGAGGGGGAAAAGCAGAUGUUGGACGACAGCGGAGGACGGACAGGAAUGCAAACAGAUGAAGGCGUUUGUGCAGUGACAGGUACUGGAUGGCUGAGAGCUCGGCGUGUGUAGCCUUUAACUUACCUCACAAGAUGGAUCGAGCCGGGCCGCUUCAUGAAAUAACUAGUAAGUCUUUUAGCGAAAUUGUUCCAAUGAAGGAUCUGUCCUUUAUGUCAGAACUGUCAUUUUUCCACUCAACCAAAACGACUCUCGUCAAUUUUUCAUGUGCUCACCUUAGAACGGCAAAGAAUUUCCUCAUCUGAUGCAGCUCAAUAAACGCAUUUUAUACACAAUCAUUCUUAAGUGAUGCAUGAAAUGGUGUAUGUCAGCAAAUAUUUAUAUGGGGUCACGAAUGACGGUUAGCCCACUGACUUCAUUAUUCGUGACCGGAAGGAACAAAAUGUUAUUCACGGGAAAUACAGCUGAACUGCUACCAUCAUCUCAGAGUGUGAACGAGAAUUACGGCUAUAAGCUCAUCUGACUGGACAACAAACCAGACACUUUCAUCUCAACAGUAAAGCAGGUAAUUACUCUGCAGGCUGGACUCCGUCUUACAGUCUGCACUUUGUCCUUGGCUUUUCGGGGAUAGGAGCCGUGGCAUGUACUGGCCCGAGCGUAAUGUAAUCAAAAAAAGGCAAGGCCUCGAAUCUGGUUGUGUGAUGUCAUCACAAUGAGACACUUGUGUGAUAUCAUAAUUAUGAGGUAAUGGCGGGAGGGGUGUGUAGGUUUACGACUUUGGCACACGCUCAGUUUACCGUCAGCCGACUGCAACGGGGUACUAAUGAGAAUGGAUGGCCCGCCUCGAGCUCUCCAUGUGUGCCUCUGUGUGCGCGCGACACACACACACACACACAGAGAGUGCACAUGUGCUUGUGCUUAGGGAAGGCUUGCAGAAUUGCUCCCUAGAGCAUUACCGAACACAAGCUUCUCCAAAAUGUAAAUAAUGUCUCACAUAUUAUUUGUUUAUAUUUAAAAGACGGUUGUCUCAAGGGAAUGUACUUUUUCCAUAAAGAUGAGGGCUCCAGUGUUUCGACAACCUAGAGGACCCCCCCCUGCUCCUGCCUUGUGUCCAAAGGCAAGCCUGCUCGUUGUUCUAAAUUUAGCGGUGGUCCCCUCUGGAGGCUGCGGCAGGUGGAGGUGACGGGGGCCCUGGCCUGUACUCUCAGGACAGAUGGGUGAACCCCAUGACCAAAGCCCCGGACCUCACAAUCUAGUUAUAGAACUGAUAAUGAUACCCCGACCUCGGCGAACACACACACACACACACACACACCUCUAAAAAUGAGCCUGAUGUUGCCUCAAACUCAUGGUUAUAAUCUUCCUCAUCCCAUGUUACAAUCCCGGGCUGAAAAACAACACGACAUCACUGGCAGACUCCAAAACCAUUUAUCAAAACUCCUCAGCACCACCACAUGAAAACCUCCAACCAUGCCUCAAUAUUUUGAGACUUGCAACAUGUAAUUUGAAACUAGCUUUUGUAAGCGUGCAGUCACCGAAGCUCACUAUUGUCCCCUCCGUACAAAGAGAAGGAAAAUAAAAACACACUAAAAUGCUGCGAUCUUUCCGCCCGUUACUCUGUUCAGAAAGUUGCUGAUCCCCAUGUUGCUGGCCCAUUGAGCAGGAUGACAUCAUCGGCUCAGACCGUGCCAACUGUGCUCAAUAAAGCCGAGGCGUGUUUGGUGGGAGAGUGCCUCCGCUGCACUGAGACUCGUACGGAAGACGUGAGUGAGAUGAUAUUUGUUCUAAAUUAGUCAUGGCAAAAAUUGGAGGGAAGGGCUUGUCACCAGGAUUCACUGGUUGUAGAGAAUCCGAAUCAUUACAACAGUAUUAUUUCCCGUCUCCUGUGGGAGUCACCGUGUGUGUAGCCGAGCUCAGAGAGGUAAACCGAUCCUUGGUGAUGGAUUCUAUUGUAUAACGGUGGGUUCUAAUUAAAAAUAAAAUAAAGCGCGUAUUUGGUUUGAUGAUAGAUAAGUUCUUAAUAUGAGACCGUUCUACAAAAGACAGGAUCUUUUUCAAAUUAUGAUUGCAGUCCAUUCAACAGAUUUCCUGCUGCUUGUCUUGCACGUACUGGCAUUGUACAUUUCCAAAGUAUAUUAGCCUUUUAGGAUAAACAUGAAGUUACAGCCAGCUGGAGGUUAGCACAGCUCAGCAUAAAGAGAAAGUAUAGGCGCAAACAGCUGGCUCUGUCCAAAGGUAACUAUUACCUAAUUAACUUGUUUAAGUGCAAAUGAGAAGGUGUGGUUUCAGGUGGGUCGUGUGCAGGACUAUAUUUAUUGGCAGUAAGUCCAAGCUGUUUCCGCUCUUUGUGCUCAGCUAAACUAACUGGCUGCUUGCUGUGGACUCAAACGUGCCUCACGAACAAAGGUGUCGAUCCUCCCGACUAACUCUCAGCAAGAAGAUGAAUCAUUUCUUUAAAAGCCUUUUGUGUAUCCGAAUUUCACAUCAUACAGUGAAGUGUUAAAUAUAUCAGUGUUAAAUACAGACAAUAGAGCCAAACGGCUUCAGACCGUCUGCGGCACUCCGCCGCGCACUAGUUUUAAACCUAAUAACAGUCUACAUCUGGGCGGUUUGGUGUUAUGGCAGCAGCGAUGUUGUGUAAUUAAACCGACUUGCCCCCUCAAAGUCUUUGCCACACCUCCACUCCUCCGCCUCUGCCCUCACAUCACACCACGGCUCCUCCAAAGACCAGCUCGCCUCUCUCUUUGUCUUUCCUGGGGCCUUCCCUUCCUUGUGAUCGCCGCCGUGCUCUCUGCGAGUGUACUUGUGCUAGCACAGCAGUUUGGCGGAUGGUCUGGGCAUAGCGGGUGUGUGUCAAACAGCACCUUCCACUCAAGAAGAGAGAAACAGAGGGGAGGCUGCAGGAGGAGGAGGAGGAGGAGGAGGGGGCGCACACACACGCAAACACGCUCACACGCACACAGCACAAGCACACGUACGCUGCAUGGUGAUGUCAUCUAAAAUGACAUCAUCCCGUGGAGGGGAGCCAAGGGACCUGAUGGGUUAGCAUCCUCCAGUGAGUUAAAGGGAGAGAUGGAGGAGGAGGAGGAGGAGGAGGAGGUGGAGACAGUCAGAGGGGGGACUGGAUAACGUGAGGGAGGCGAUGACUGUGAUCAGAAUUUCCACCAUUUCUUUUUUACGCCACUCGCCUCUUGCUUGCGCGGGCUUCACAGGAGCGCACGCCUCUCUUUUAGGGAUUCCAUUUGCAGGUGUUACCCUCCUGAGGGAGGGAUGCGUGAGUGCAGCUAAAGUGCAGUUAGAGUGCAAGUGAAUCAAUACCAGUGAGCGAAUACCCGACACAUACUCAUAAACACAUUGAGCACACAGCCAUAUUAUCUACCGGGUACCACACACACAGAGAGCACAUGUAUGAACAUAUGUCCCGUGCACUGCGACAUGUUCACACGUGGGGGAAAUGAACGCACGCUCUCGCGCGUUGGCUUCCCAUCCAAACACCUGUGUCUCUGCGUGUUUCCCAUUGUUGUCCACUUGGCUGUGCUGUGCUCCACACUGUGCUCCCAGCAUGCCGGCCAUCUGAAACCAGACACCUAUGGACCAGUAUGCUGCUGGAGUGAAACGCCUCUUCCAUCUCUGGAGCCUCUGCUGAUGCUGAGGACAUUCCACUUGGUCCAUAGUGAUGCGUUAUUCAUUAAAAAAAAUAUAUAUGUAAAAAAAACUCUACUUAUUGGAUAUCCCGUUUAUGAUUGUGAGCCUCUUUUGUUUGCACCGAGUGCCAGCGACACUCAGUGUUUCCUUUUAAGAGAGUACAUUGAUGUGGGGAAGGCUUGGUGUUGCUGAUUCAAUCUUCCUUAUCCCUCCCUGUCUGUGGCAAACUGACUCAACUGUAUAAAUAGAGAGGCAUGUAGUGUGGGACAGAGAGGAGCAGGGAUGAGAGAUAUGGAGGGAAUGAGGGAGGACUCGUCGUGAUGUGAGGGUGUGAGGCCACACAAUGGAGGAGAAAUCUGGUUCGGGGAUGAUUAAAUUGAAUAACAUGAGCUAAGCUGUGAAUUUCUCUUUUUGCUCCGAAGACCUUUAAUCUUUUCUUGGAAGGGAUAUUACUCACGACCACGUAUCAAUAAACAACAGCAGAACUGUGAGGCAGGGUUAGGGUUCAUUUCAUCACAUCAUACAUUCAAUGGCCCUUCAGAGCCUCAUCAAGUUCCUCCUUAAAAAACGUUUGCUUCCGUGCAAUAACGUGUCCAACUAAGUUAACAAGAGAGAUACAGAGAAGAGGAAGGAAGCAAGUUUACUUCCCCUUUAAAUCCCUAACGCUGUGUUGUGUUUCAUUGGAAGUAAUGUUUACAUGCUAUCCCAUCCGUGACUGCAUGUCUAACAGACGACCCUUUGCAACCACACCACACACACACGCACACAUACUGUACAUAAUGUGUGAAAAGCAGACAACAUACUUAUAAUUCUACCUGUGAGGUCAAAUCAUUCAUAAAAAUGUAAAUGUUUGUAUGAAUGAGGGGGAAUUCCACUAGCAACACACACACACACACACACACACACACACAGCCUAUUUUUGGUCGUAUCUGGUGUAGCCAACCUCCAUUUGUUUUCCUUCUGCAGUAUUGGUAUGGCAACAUUGGCACACUCCUACUCUCUUCCCAUCUUAGUCAUAAGCCGCACUCAUGAGGCACCAGCUGAAGCCCUCCAACAGUUGAUAUGUUUGGUCACUUCCGUGGGUUUUCUCUCGGCCGCCUUUAUCACUCCGGCACAGACACAUACUGUACGCAUGCAAAUGGCGCCGGAGUCCAGCUCUCCAACCGGGAAUAAAGAGGAACCGGGUUCAUUUUACAGGGCACUGUUCAUUUUUUCAGUACAUCCAUAACUAGAUGUACUACAUAGAUGGAUAUACAUAUGCGGAGACAUACAGUAUACUGUUGUUAUUAGG